RNAcentral lists this ribosomal RNA (397 nucleotides) under uncultured bacterium. RNAcentral's name for it is "bacterial SSU rRNA". It matches the Rfam family "Bacterial small subunit ribosomal RNA", at positions 28 to 429 of the family's 1533-position model. The record is from RNAcentral.
AACGAACGCUGGCGGCGUGGAUAAGACAUGCAAGUCGAGCGGUAAGGCCCUUUCGGGGGUACACGAGCGGCGAACGGGUGAGUAACACGUGGGUGACCUGCCCUCAGCUCUGGGAUAAGCCUGGGAAACCGGGUCUAAUACCGGAUAUGACUCCAUGACGCAUGUUGUGGGGUGGAAAGCCUUGUGCGGCUGAGGAUGGGCCCGCGGCCUAUCAGCUUGUUGGUGGGGUGANGGCCUACCAAGGCGACGACGGGUAGCCGGCCUGAGAGGGCGACCGGCCACACUGGGACUGAGACACGGCCCAGACUCCUACGGGAGGCAGCAGUGGGGAAUCUUGCGCAAUGGGCGAAAGCCUGACGCAGCGACGCCGCGUGAGGGAUGACGGCCUCGGUGUAAC